This is a non-coding RNA of Salmo salar (Atlantic salmon), 1206 nucleotides long. The record is from RefSeq and is a predicted model, not a curated record. NCBI's taxonomy places the organism in Eukaryota, Metazoa, Chordata, Actinopteri, Salmoniformes, Salmonidae.
CAGGAUGGGAUCUCUACAGCAGAGGUCGAGCUGAGAGUCAGACCAGGAGACAACAUCACUCUCUACUGUGACUGUAACAUAACUACUGAAGUAUACAUUAUGUGGUAUAGGAACUGUUCUCACAAGUACCAGCCUCCUCUAGUUAUUUCAACUAAGUGUUUAAGUUCCAUCUCUCUCCCUGGAUAUGUGGUGUGAACCCCCUCUAACAACUCCUAUGAUCUACUGAUUGAGAACAUCACUGAAUCUGACUUGGGACUCUACUAAUGUGGGACUAUGGAGAACAAGGUAGUGGAUGAUGGAGGUAAAGGAGGUAUCAAAGUGAAAGAGUUGUACCACUAUGGAAACAUCACCACUAGGAUUUCACUUGAUACCAGUCCUCCUCCUCCUGUAGACUGUGGUCUGUGUUGGAUGUUGCUGUUCAGUCUGUGUCCUGUGUCUGCUCUCCUCUCCACUCUCCUCUCCUCCACCUGUCUACUCCUUCUACAGAACAACAGCUCCAACUGAGACUCAGGUUUCUCUGAACAGGACUACAACCAGGGGAAGUGACAGCAGAGAGCAGACUACAGUCAGAGGAAGGAGACCUGUGUCACACCUCAUUGGAUAUCCGUCAGGAACAGAGGAGACCAAGGAAGGAGUCCAGAACUCUGACUUCCGUACCUACUCAGCCAUCAAUACCAUCAGAGUGUGAGACCUGUACCAUCCAGCAAUACCAGCAAAGUGUGAGACCUGUACCAUCCAGCAAUACCAGCAGAGUGUGAGACCUAUACCAUCCAUCAAUACCAGCAGAGUGUGAGACCUGUACCAUCCAGCAAUACCAGCAAAGUGUGAGACCUGUACCAUCCAGCAAUACCAGCAGUGUGUGAGACCUGUACCAUCCAUCAAUACCAGCAGAGUGUGAGACCUAUACCAUCCAUCAAUACCAGCAGAGUGAGAGACCUAUACCAUCAAUCAAUACCAGCAUACUGAGAUCUAUACCAACAUUGCUUGAGGACAAGAAGGCAGCAGGAAUGAGCAGCAGAAACAGAGCUUUGGAGGCCACCCCCAGGACCCAGAUCAGACCACACUCAGGAAGGCAGCAGGAAUGAGGAGCAGAAACAGAGCUUUGGAGGCCACCACCAGGACCCAGAUCAGACCACAGUCAGCAGACACACCACAGUCAGGAAAGUCACAAGAGGUGAUGGUGUUGGAGUCUUCUGUAUAGUAGAG